Molecule: long non-coding RNA, 1338 nt
Filed under: Olea europaea subsp. europaea
Lineage: Eukaryota; Viridiplantae; Streptophyta; Magnoliopsida; Lamiales; Oleaceae
Source: RNAcentral
UUUCUCUCCCACUUUCACUCUCUUUAUUUCUCUUACGGUCCUUGACUUGCCCGUCAAAAUACAAACAGUGGUGGGACCUUUUUCUUGACCAAUAGCCUUAGCCUCCUAACAUGGUGUUCAAUGUACAGGUGAUAUCCAGGUAGAGAGAAAGUGGCGGGAAUUUUGUUGGCGUGUUUUUUGAGGUAACAUAUUUGCGCCGUACAUGGGAAAUUGAUACAUUUACAAUAUUCAGUUGAUACAAAAGGGAACAUUCAAACAUAAAUGAAUGGAGUGUGAUUUUCUAGGAAGAUGGAAUUAGAAGCAAGGGCGGAUGCAUAUGGGUCAAGUGAUCCCACAAAUUUCUUACGUCGUAAUUUUUUCACAAUUCUAGAUGCUGACCUUUCCCUCUCCUCUUCAGGUUUACAAGACACGACCAAUUCAAAAAAAAGAACCAAAUAAAAAUCCUUCUUCUCUAAUCUCUAUUCCUUACCUAGGGUUUGCCAAAUCUCUCCUCUCCCUUUCAUCUCACAGAUAUUGUGCACCACUAUACCUCGCUUCAUCUCAUCAACUUGACCUCAGGUAACAUUUAACUAUUCUAGAAUAUUUCAUAUAUAUAAAAAAUAAUGAUAAUAAAAAAAUAAAAAAAUCUGCUAUAAAAUAAUUAAGAAACAUAUAAUUUAUUUCCUUAUUCCCAUCUAGAAGUUGGUUAUAAAUUUGUUGAGUGGUGAUAACGAACAUGCCUACUUUAAUAGAAAUUUUUAUGUUGCUGUUUUUGAUAUGUGCGUUGUUUGUGCAUAUUGGCCUAAUCUAUGUGCGUUGUUUGUGUUGUUUGUGUAUUGUGGCCUAAUCUAUGUGUGAUGCUUGUGUAUUUUGGCCUAAUUUCAAUUAGAUGACCGUACACUAAAAUCGUUUGUUUUAUUUUUGACUAAUUAGGUUAUAAUUUGAUAUUUUCAAGAUAAAAAUGUUGAGGCUUGGAUCGAGACUCUAUUCAUAAAGUGAAUAGAAAGUGGGUUGUGAAUUUUGGAAGAAAAGCUAUCACUCUGUUACAUGCUGCAUAUCAUUAUUGCAAGAAGAAAUGCAACGUUCAUGGAGCUUGGGAGAUUAAUGAUGAAGAACUAAGUCAGCUGACAGUCUACAACACAACGCAGAAUUCUGAACCAUUGCUAUGGCCAUCAUGCCCAAAGUUUGCAUGCACUAGAAAUGAAUGUAGCAUAUCAAAAUCUGUAUGGAAGUUGUUAUACCUAUAACAUUACAUGACAUAAAUAUGACCGAAGGGUCCCACAUAUGCCAAUGUGGCAUCCACAUUCAAUUGAUUGGGCCUAUUUAAUAAAGCAAUUGUAUCUUGGGUUUGGACUUGAC